GUCAAUACCUUUCUGUUUACAUCGUUCACAUCGUAUACAUCGCGAUGUUGACAAUAUUGUGUCAACAUCGUGUUUACAUUGUAUAUAUAGUGUCUACAUCUUUCUGUUUACAUCGUUCACAUCGUAUACAUCGUAAUGUUAACAAUAUAGUGUCAAAAUCUUGUUGUUGUUGUAUAUACAUUUUUUUUCGUUCUUUUUUUUUUAAAAUAAG
This 211-nucleotide long non-coding RNA is filed under the name Mytilus galloprovincialis (Mediterranean mussel). Lineage: Eukaryota; Metazoa; Mollusca; Bivalvia; Mytilida; Mytilidae. The record is from RNAcentral.